GACGAACGCUGGCGGCGUGCCUAAUACAUGCAAGUCGAGCGGACCAAAGGGAGCUUGCUCCUGGAGGUCAGCGGCGAACGGGUGAGUAACACGUGGGCAACCUGCCUGUAAGACUGGGAUAACAUCGAGAAAUCGGUGCUAAUACCGGAUAAUAAAAAGAACUGCAUGGUUCUUUUUUGAAAGAUGGUUUCGGCUAUCACUUACAGAUGGGCCCGCGGCGCAUUAGCUAGUUGGUGAGGUAACGGCUCACCAAGGCGACGAUGCGUAGCCGACCUGAGAGGGUGAUCGGCCACACUGGGACUGAGACACGGCCCAGACUCCUACGGGAGGCAGCAGUAGGGAAUCUUCCGCAAUGGACGAAAGUCUGACGGAGCAACGCCGCGUGAGUGAUGAAGGUUUUCGGAUCGUAAAACUCUGUUGUUAGGGAAGAACGAAGUGCCGUUCGAAAGGGCGGCACCUUGACGGUACCUAACGAGAAAGCCACGGCUAACUACGUGCCAGCAG
This 504-nucleotide ribosomal RNA is filed under the name uncultured bacterium. RNAcentral's name for it is "bacterial SSU rRNA". It matches the Rfam family "Bacterial small subunit ribosomal RNA", at positions 28 to 514 of the family's 1533-position model. The record is from RNAcentral.